CUAUUGUUUUAUGGGAAUAGUUCAAGAGGUCGAAAAUAAAGCAUCAAUAUGGUAUAAUUCAUGUAAAACGUGCUCAACAUCAUGCCCAAAGAAUGCUGAAACUACAAUAUGCAAAAAAUGCAAUGAGGAGGUUGUUGAGACAACACCGAGGUUUAGAAUAACCUUAAAUGUUAUACAAGGAGAUUAUGAUGCAAAUAUUACAAUGUUCGAUGAGGUUGCAGCAGUAUAUGUAGGAUGCUCGGUGGAUGAGUAUAUUUCAUCAAUCAGUCACGUAAGUUUUAAUUUUUUUCAUCAAUAGUCUUUGUCAAAAUAACAAGUACUAUCAAUUUUUAAGAAAUUUACUCAUGAUGAUAAUUUAAAUAUCUAAUUUCCCAGGAUGAAAACGAUUCUGCAUACUAUAGACGUCUGGCCGCUCCAAAUUCAACAGAAAUACGGUUUAUGACUACUAUAAAGCAUGCAAAACUUGAUGAUAGGGGAAAGCUAAAUCUUAUAGCAAGUGCAAUCCAGAAGAUAGAAUGUGACCCGAUGAAUGCUGUAAUGAAGUCGAUGGUAACAUCAAUUGAAGAAACAAAAGAUCAUGAAGAAGGAAGGGAAGAAAUAGUUAAGAAGGC
Long non-coding RNA from Salvia miltiorrhiza (redroot sage), 611 nucleotides. RefSeq lists it as uncharacterized. The transcript has 2 exons. The record is from RefSeq and is a predicted model, not a curated record. NCBI's taxonomy places the organism in Eukaryota, Viridiplantae, Streptophyta, Magnoliopsida, Lamiales, Lamiaceae.